RNAcentral lists this unclassified non-coding RNA (276 nucleotides) under plant metagenome. Its description in RNAcentral is "partial contains small subunit ribosomal RNA, internal transcribed spacer 1, and 5.8S ribosomal RNA". The record is from RNAcentral.
CCGUUGGUGAACCAGCGGAGGGAUCAUUACAGGAACUCGCAAGACUCCUAACCCACUGUGAACCUACCCGACGUUGCCUCGGCGGGCGCCCGGCCUCGCGCCGGGCACCAAGCCCGCCUGCGGCCCCCUACUCUGUCUCUGCAGCGUUGUGUCUCCGAGUAUACCAAAACAAGUCAAAACUUUCAACAACGGAUCUCUUGCCUCUAGCAUCGAUGAAGAACGCCGCAGACGGACAAGCCCACGUCCGAACCCCAGUCACUUCGUACGAUCUCGUAU